CCUACGGGUGGCAGCAGUGAGGAAUAUUGGUCAAUGGACGAGAGUCUGAACCAGCCAAGUAGCGUGAAGGAUGACUGCCCUAUGGGUUGUAAACUUCUUUUAUAUGGGAAUAAAACGUUCCACGUGUGGGAUUUUGUAUGUACCAUAUGAAUAAGGAUCGGCUAACUCCGUGCCAGCAGCCGCGGUAAUACGGAGGAUCCGAGCGUUAUCCGGAUUUAUUGGGUUUAAAGGGAGCGUAGGUGGAUUGUUAAGUCAGUUGUGAAAGUUUGCGGCUCAACCGUAAAAUUGCAGUUGAAACUGGCAGUCUUGAGUACAGUAGAGGUGGGCGGAAUUCGUGGUGUAGCGGUGAAAUGCUGAGAUAUCACGAAGAACUCCGAGUGCGAAGGCAGUUCACUGGACUGCAACUGACACUGAGGCUCGAAAGUGUGGGUAUCAAACAGGAUUAGAUACCCUGGUAGUC
RNAcentral lists this ribosomal RNA (460 nucleotides) under uncultured bacterium. RNAcentral's name for it is "partial 16S ribosomal RNA". It matches the Rfam family "Bacterial small subunit ribosomal RNA", at positions 338 to 795 of the family's 1533-position model. The record is from RNAcentral.